This 80-nucleotide transfer RNA is filed under the name Lachnospiraceae bacterium. RNAcentral's name for it is "tRNA-Leu". It matches the Rfam family "tRNA". From Rfam's summary of the family: Transfer RNA (tRNA) molecules are approximately 80 nucleotides in length. Their secondary structure includes four short double-helical elements and three loops (D, anti-codon, and T loops). RNAcentral also lists the same sequence under 3 other names. The record is from RNAcentral. Lineage: Bacteria; Bacillati; Bacillota; Clostridia; Lachnospirales; Lachnospiraceae.
GCGGUUGUGGCGGAAUUGGCAGACGCGCUGGUUUUAGGUACCAGUGGGUGACCGUGUGGGUUCGAGUCCCACUAGCCGCA